AGUGAACGCUGGCGGUAGGCCUAACACAUGCAAGUCGAACGGCAGCACAGGAGAGCUUGCUCUCUAGGUGGUGAGUGGCGGACGGGUGAGGAAUACAUCGGAAUCUGCCCAGUCGUGGGGGAUAACGUAGGGAAACUUACGCUAAUACCGCAUACGACCUUCGGGUGAAAGAGGGGGAUCGCAAGACCUCUCGCGAUUGGAUGAGCCGAUGUCGGAUUAGCUAGUUAGCGGGGUAAUGGCCCACCAAGGCGACGAUCCGUAGCUGGUCUGAGAGGAUGAUCAGCCACACUGGAACUGAGACACGGUCCAGACUCCUACGGGAGGCAGCAGUGGGGAAUAUUGGACAAUGGGCGCAAGCCUGAUCCAGCCAUACCGCGUGGGUGAAGAAGGCCUUCGGGUUGUAAAGCCCUUUUGUUGGGAAAGAAAUCUUUCAGGCUAAUACCCUGGGAGGAUGACGGUACCCAAAGAAUAAGCACCGGCUAACUUCGUG
This 490-nucleotide ribosomal RNA is filed under the name uncultured bacterium. RNAcentral describes it as "partial 16S ribosomal RNA". It matches the Rfam family "Bacterial small subunit ribosomal RNA", at positions 29 to 507 of the family's 1533-position model. The record is from RNAcentral.